Molecule: ribosomal RNA, 1099 nt
Filed under: Eurotiales sp. NC1439
Lineage: Eukaryota; Fungi; Ascomycota; Eurotiomycetes; Eurotiales
Description: eukaryotic LSU rRNA
Rfam family: Eukaryotic large subunit ribosomal RNA (bases 521-1099)
Source: RNAcentral
GAUCAUUACCGAGUGCGGGUCCUUUGGGCCCAACCUCCCAUCCGUGUCUAUUGUACCCUGUUGCUUCGGCGGGCCCGCCGCUUGUCGGCCGCCGGGGGGGCGCCUCUGCCCCCCGGGCCCGUGCCCGCCGGAGACCCCAACACGAACACUGUCUGAAAGCGUGCAGUCUGAGUUGAUUGAAUGCAAUCAGUUAAAACUUUCAACAAUGGAUCUCUUGGUUCCGGCAUCGAUGAAGAACGCAGCGAAAUGCGAUAACUAAUGUGAAUUGCAGAAUUCAGUGAAUCAUCGAGUCUUUGAACGCACAUUGCGCCCCCUGGUAUUCCGGGGGGCAUGCCUGUCCGAGCGUCAUUGCUGCCCUCAAGCCCGGCUUGUGUGUUGGGUCGCCGUCCCCCUCUCCGGGGGGACGGGCCCGAAAGGCAGCGGCGGCACCGCGUCCGAUCCUCGAGCGUAUGGGGCUUUGUCACAUGCUCUGUAGGAUUGGCCGGCGCCUGCCGACGUUUUCCAACCAUUCUUUCCAGGUUGACCUCGGAUCAGGUAGGGAUACCCGCUGAACUUAAGCAUAUCAAUAAGCGGAGGAAAAGAAACCAACCGGGAUUGCCUCAGUAACGGCGAGUGAAGCGGCAAGAGCUCAAAUUUGAAAGCUGGCUCCUUCGGAGUCCGCAUUGUAAUUUGCAGAGGAUGCUUUGGGUGCGGCCCCCGUCUAAGUGCCCUGGAACGGGCCGUCAGAGAGGGUGAGAAUCCCGUCUUGGGCGGGGUGUCCGUGCCCGUGUAAAGCUCCUUCGACGAGUCGAGUUGUUUGGGAAUGCAGCUCUAAAUGGGUGGUAAAUUUCAUCUAAAGCUAAAUACUGGCCGGAGACCGAUAGCGCACAAGUAGAGUGAUCGAAAGAUGAAAAGCACUUUGAAAAGAGAGUUAAACAGCACGUGAAAUUGUUGAAAGGGAAGCGCUUGCGACCAGACUCGCCCGCGGGGUUCAGCCGGCAUUCGUGCCGGUGUACUUCCCCGUGGGCGGGCCAGCGUCGGUUUGGGCGGCCGGUCAAAGGCCCCUGGAAUGUAGUGCCCUCCGGGGCACCUUAUAGCCAGGGGUGCAAUGCGGCCAGCC